This 622-nucleotide ribosomal RNA is filed under the name uncultured bacterium. RNAcentral describes it as "bacterial SSU rRNA". It matches the Rfam family "Bacterial small subunit ribosomal RNA", at positions 202 to 842 of the family's 1533-position model. The record is from RNAcentral.
CAAAGGAGCAAUCCGCUAUAGGAUGGGCUCGCGUCCGAUUAGAUAGUUGGCGGGGUAACGGCCCACCAAGUCGACGAUCGGUAGCCGGACUGAGAGGUUGAACGGCCACAUUGGGACUGAGACACGGCCCAGACUCCUACGGGAGGCAGCAGUGGGGGAUAUUGCACAAUGGAGGGAACUCUGAUGCAGCGACGCCGCGUGAGGGAAGAAGGUUUUCGGAUUGUAAACCUCUGUCUUCGGUGACGAAACGAGACGGUAGCCGAGGAGGAAGCCACGGCUAACUACGUGCCAGCAGCCGCGGUAAUACGUAGGUGGCAAGCGUUGUCCGGAAUUACUGGGUGUAAAGGGAGCGUAGGCGGGAAAGCAAGUUGAAUGUUUAAGGUACGGGCUCAACCUGUACAAGCGUUCAAAACUGUUUUUCUUGAGUGGAGUAGAGGUAAGCGGAAUUCCUAGUGUAGCGGUGAAACGCGUAAAUAUUAGGAGGAACACCAGUGGCGAAGGCGGCUUACUGGGCUUUAACUGACGCUGAGGCUCGAAAGCGUGGGUAGCAAACAGGAUUAGAUACCCUGGUAGUCCACGCCGUAAACGAUGAUUACUAGGUGUGGGGGGACUGACCCCUUCC